This 497-nucleotide ribosomal RNA is filed under the name uncultured bacterium. RNAcentral's name for it is "partial 16S ribosomal RNA". It matches the Rfam family "Bacterial small subunit ribosomal RNA", at positions 28 to 507 of the family's 1533-position model. The record is from RNAcentral.
GAUGAACGCUGGCGGCGUGCCUAAUACAUGCAAGUCGAGCGAACAGACGAGGAGCUUGCUCCUCUGACGUUAGCGGCGGACGGGUGAGUAACACGUGGAUAACCUACCUAUAAGACUGGGAUAACUUCGGGAAACCGGAGCUACUACCGGAUAAUAUAUUGAACCGCAUGGUUCAAUAGUGAAAGACGGUUUUGCUGUCACUUAUAGAUGGAUCCGCGCCGCAUUAGCUAGUUGGUAAGGUAACGGCUUACCAAGGCAACGAUGCGUAGCCGCCCUGAGAGGGUGCACGGACACACUGGAACGGAGACACGGUCCAGACUCCUAAGGGAGGAAGCAGUAGGGAAUCUUCCGCAAUGGGCGAAAGCCUGACGGAGCAACGCCGCGUGAGUGAUGAAGGUCUUCGGAUCGUAAAACUCUGUUAUUAGGGAAGAACAAAUGUGUAAGUAACUAUGCACGUCUUGACGGUACCUAAUCAGAAAGCCACGGCUAACUACGUG